GCGAACGGAUCAAAAAACAUAUUGAAUUCGGUGUACUUGUUGGAAGGAAUAGAGAAGACAUUUCCUAUAUUGAGGCGACUUCUGCUGAUAUGUCCUCCAACAAUAUACAGGUCCUGCAAUUACAGCAAAUGAAAAAUAUUAAUAUCGACAGAAAACCUGAUUCUGGGAAAACGUUGAUCAACUUCCGAAAAUCCAAGUACCUCGAUCAGUGAAGCUGUUCUUGUAUGAGUUAUAAUCUUGGCCAAAGUAGUCAAAGGUCCAUUUGUCAAUACUGUAAUUUUGGAUCCAGGAUCCAAAGUUCUCAAUAUUGAGUUCCAAAUUUCCAGUGCCAA
Molecule: long non-coding RNA, 332 nt
Organism: Hibiscus syriacus
Lineage: Eukaryota; Viridiplantae; Streptophyta; Magnoliopsida; Malvales; Malvaceae
Exons: 2
Source: RefSeq, a predicted model, not a curated record